UGGUAAAGAAAAAUGGGGUGAGAGGGGCGACCGGCGUAGCAACCCCCCAGGCGUGACCAUGAGAGCCGUUCUUCAUCCUCCCCUUCCCUCUUUAUUUCUUCUUUUCCUAAUUUGAACCACUUCCCUCCCACUUGCCACCGUUCCCUCUUCUCUCACCCAUCGACCCAACUCCUCCUCCCUCAUAGAGACGGCCUCUCGCUCUUCAUUGGGCACGAUCUCCUCUCAAGAACCGGGGAGUAGCAGCGCCGGCGCUCCAUCAACUUGGCAGUGGAAGUUGCGGUCCCCUGAAGAAGCAGCAGCAGCAGCAGAAGAAGAAGAAUCCACCGCGCCGCUUCCCAACCAAGAAAUUGGAGCCCCACGUCCACCCCGCUGGGUUCCUCUCCGAGACAGGCAUCUCCGACCGGGCCUUCGCUCAGUUCCUCCGUCAACGGGAUAAGGGCUGCAAGGACCGGAAAUUCGAGUUGUUUUCCCGUUUUAUAGUUUUGAUGAGGGCAUCUGCUGGGUGGGCUUAUGAUGAAUCUUGAUUUGGAGGUGUGGUGUAAUGCGGCUUCUUCUUGGUUGGAUCGAACAAGUACGUGAUAUUAGGGAUGCAUCGGCACUGGGAGCAUUGGGUGGGAUUACAUGGAGAGGGCUCCAGGAGGUACUUGACCUUUUUUUUUGGAGGCAAUGCGGGAAGCCAGAGUCCUUAAGAACGGCUAAAAACAAUACCAAUACUAUCUAAGGUUACAAGAAGCGGCAAGAAAUGUGGAAGAAUAGGAGAGAGAUAUUUAUGAGACUAGCUGGAUCUUGCGAUCCAGUCAGCAUGCUGGUUCUCUUCCCUUAAGACAUAACUGACAUCCAGGAGUGGAGAGAAAGCUUUGAGAUUCCAAAUGUCAACCAGAAGGGCAUGAGCUUCAAUGGUGUGGGAUGGUCCUUUAAUGAUCCAAUGCAUGAUGGUUGAGGAGUCUCAUUCAAGCCACAAUUUGAAACAAAAAGUGGGCGAGUGAUGCUGGAAGAUGGAGAGAAGAGGAGGUAACACAAGUGCACACUGGUUAAAAAGUUGAAAACUCACACCCUUAUGGAAUCACCAAGAAAGAGAACAAGAAUAAUAACUCCGUAAGAGGGAACUUCUGUUUUUGCAUAGAUGGGGAGCUCUAUUCUUCAUAAUGUUUUCCAAAUAUUCAUCCCUACAGCUACUAGGCAUAACUUUAAAGACAACCACCAAUCGAAAUAUUUUAAAUUCAUAUCGAAGUGUAACAGAGAGCUCAUGAGAUGUUCAUGGUUUUGGGAAUCUCUUGUGGACUUUACCUUGAGCCUUAAUUGACUGAACUUUUGGUUGUCACUCAGCAGUCUUGUUUGGGCUUGAUCCAUAAAUACCUCCAAUGUCAAUGUAAUAUCUAGAUGAGAGGCCAAAUUGGUUGAACUGUGUUCUCUAAGAUGCGACAUACAAGGGCAGACAAUUGCUGUUUUGUGGCAGCACAAAAUCUAGUCGAGGAUUCAAGAUGAAGCAGAUAUGCUUAGGAUCCAAGACAAGCAAAGGUCAUGGAAGAAGUAGUAAUGUGUCAAGAAGAAAACAGCCAAGUAAGAGAGGCCUAUCACUAGAUGAGUUUGUCUGAAAUUUCUGAGCAAGUCCUGAAGGCCUAAACUUUUGUCAUGGAGUAAGAAACUGAAGAAGAUGAUGAUGCUGUUAACUAGAAACAGAUCAUAGAGCAGGAGAAACAUCACCUCAACCACCAUCAUCAAUCAACCAUCACAGAAGAUUCAUAUGGAUCAAGUCUCUGAGUGUUAGAUGAUCAUCAAGCACCUCUGGCGCUUAAAGGCUAUACAAGCAAUAAAAGCUCUCUGUUGUUGAAUAGAUCAGAAUAGAGUGGGUCAUGGAGGCAAAUUGAACAGAAAAUAAGCAAAGAAACAUGAAGGUUGGAUCAAAGAGCAAGGCUAAAAGUAAAAGAAACAUGGUUUAUACCAUCCAGAUAAUCCUUAAUAUAUAAGAUAACCCAUGACAUGAUGAGGCUGGACGAAAAUGACUGAAUACUUUCAAGAGGUCUGUCAAAUGUUCACCAUGCGAAUGACUUUAGUAUGGUAUCGCAUAUGAAGCAAAUUGUAUUGGGGUUGAAGAAGCUGGGCAACAUCAGAUAUAUCAUUCAUCCUUCUAGUUGUGUUUUUCAUCAGAUAUCUUUUCUUGUGUUCUCAUGCAUGAUUUUUUCAGAACAUGUAGAGCAUUACAGACCAAGAAGUUUUUUUUUUUUUAAAAAAAUCCAAAUAGGUUGGUUUUGGUUAGGUUAUAUUUAAAGUAGCUCAGCUCCAGUAGGCUUCUGAAAGUAGUUCACCAAUUGACUGGCUAGGCUUCUCAUAGAGCUAGAGGAAAUACGUGCUGGUCGUUGACAUAAACCUUCGGCCAAAGAAGAACAAACUUGGGUCCAUCAUUUGACCGGGAAUCUGAGACCAAUGGCUGAGGAUUCUUGAAUCAAGAGUUAAGCACAAAGGGAAAUCUGGAGGGCUAUAGAAAUAGAAUUUGGCGUAGACAAUAUUUAACACUGAUGAAAUCAACUAUGGUGGGCAUGGCGAGCUAAAGAGUGAUCAGCAUCUUUGAAGAACCAAUACCAAGGGGAGUGAUGUUAUUGGAACUCCUUGGAGGUGGCAUUGCCUCGUAGAAGUGCUGAGCUUCUGAUCUGUAAGUGGUGGUGGAAACUACUUAUAGAACCUUCUAAGCCAUGGAAUAUAUUGAUCAAGGAGAGAUACUACAAGAACAGGGAGGUGACAAUGAAAACAGUAAAUCGAAAGAAACUCUCUUGCUUUUGGAAGGAUGUUCAGCAGGUUAAAUCACUAUUCCGUUCCUUUGUGAAGUUUAAAAUCCAAAAUGGUUUAUGUGCUAUGUUUGGGGAUGAUAUAUGGCUUCAAGAGCACUCUCUCAAGGAUAAAUAUCCAAGGAUUUACGCCUGCUUUCAUAAUAAAGAUAUGGUGGUUGCGGGAGCUAUCAAUGCUCUUGUGGAUUAUCACAGUUCGCCUCUUUACGCAAUAUCAGUGGCACUUUCAGAACAUCAGAAACUCAGACGGGAUCUGUCAACCAUCCACCUUUCUCGACAGCAGGAUUCAAUUGAAGGGAGGUGGUUUACAGCACAAAAUUUUCCGAUCAGGUUUUGCUGUAGAUUCCUUCUUGAUGAGGGCUGUGACAGUAUUAUUGUACAGUGAUCUGGAAAAUCAGUAUAUUGGAGAGAGUUAAAUUCUUCUCAUAUCUCGCAUAUCAGGACAAAAUCCUGACCAAAAACAACCUUUGCAAGAGAGGAUGGAAAGGAUCAGAUCGAUGCUCUUUGUGCAAUGCUUCUUGUGAGACAGUUGAUUAUCUAUUUUUACAAUGUCCAUUCGCUACAACGAUAUGUUGUUCACUCCUAAAAGAUUACUACCCAGAAGACCUGCCAUUCUCCCAAUUGGAACUUUGGAGUGUUUGGAGGCAAAAGAGCCACAGGCAGAAUUCAAUCAGGGGUUUGGAUAUGUUGCUUUCAGCAGGGAUUUGGAGUUUAUGGAAAGAGAGAAACAAACGAUGUUUUCAUUUUCAUGCUUUCCUCCAGAACCCCUUAGCUCAACGAAUCGCUUAGACUGUUCCUGAUCUAGUCUGAACAAACUCAGAAGACAGAGGAUAAUCAGGUUAUAUACCGGUGAGGCAAUCAAUCUUAAAUUUCUGAGGCACAUUGCGCUCUGGCACCAUAACUAAUCAACAAACACCCUCAUAACUGGAAAACAGAUAGCUUCGUAUAUCUGAAGUCUGGUUGAAGUUUGCCUGCGUAGCACAUGAUCACUUCCUGUUGUUCUGUUGUGAUGUUCAUUCUUUUUGGAGUCGCACAAUUUCACACGACACAAAUACAAUGUAUACAAACUGACGUGAAUUUUGAGUAUGCGAAUGGUGCUGCCACUUUCAAACUCAAAAGUUUGAUUUACAUAUUUGAGGUACUCAUGGGAAUUUCUGUGGGGUGUUAAGAAGCUGCUGUGAUGUUUGUGUUCAAAUUGUGCAGUGACAUAAAAUCUAGUAGACAAAUUUGAGUCUUAAAAGACACAAAGCUCGCCAUUCAAGCAUAUGUUUGAAAGGAGAACAACUUAUGAGAGAGUCAUGAUAAGGUUGUACUUCACCCUUGGCAUGCCUCAUCAUGAUGGACUACAAGCGAGCGAGACCUAGUUGGACCACUUGGAAUUAUUCUCAUAGCAAAUUUUAUACAGAAAACAUUAAGUUUCCUUGCUCUAAAUAAAAAUGCUAUUGCUUUCAAGAUUUUUUUA
Molecule: non-coding RNA, 4245 nt
Organism: Elaeis guineensis (African oil palm)
Lineage: Eukaryota; Viridiplantae; Streptophyta; Magnoliopsida; Arecales; Arecaceae
Source: RefSeq, a predicted model, not a curated record